CUCGGCAAACAAAAGCCUCGCCUGUUUACCAAAAACAUCGCCUCUUGCCUGACUAAGUAUAAGAGGUCCCGCCUGCCCUGUGACUAUACGUUUAACGGCCGCGGUAUCUUAACCGUGCAAAGGUAGCGCAAUCACUUGUCUUUUAAAUGAAGACCUGUAUGAAUGGCACGACGAGGGCUUAACUGUCUCCUUUUUCUAGUCAAUGAAAUUGAUCCCCCCGUGCAGAAGCGGGGAUAAGAACAUAAGACGAGAAGACCCUGUGAAGCUUUUAGACGAUAGACAGCCCAAACUAACUACCCCCCUUAAAAGGAUUAAAGCACUGGACCCUGCCUUGAUGUCUUCGGUUGGGGCGACCACGGAGAAACAAAAAACCCCCAUGUGGAUUAGAAGCAUUAACCCUUCACCCCCCCUUCUACAAUUAAGAGCCACAACUCAAAAUAACAAAAUCUUUGACCAAACAUGAUCCGGCAACGCCGAUCAACGAACCAAGUUACUCCAGGGAUAACAGCGCAAUCCCCUUCUAGAGUCCAUAUCGACAAGGGGGCUUACGACCUCGAUGUUGGAUCAGGACAUCCUAAUGGUGCAGCCGCUAUUAAGGGUUCGUUUGUUCAAC
This 613-nucleotide ribosomal RNA is filed under the name Ambassis nalua. RNAcentral's name for it is "partial large subunit ribosomal RNA". It matches the Rfam family "Bacterial large subunit ribosomal RNA", at positions 1778 to 2585 of the family's 2925-position model. Lineage: Eukaryota; Metazoa; Chordata; Actinopteri; Ambassidae. The record is from RNAcentral.